Molecule: non-coding RNA, 334 nt
Organism: Pseudopodoces humilis (Tibetan ground-tit)
Lineage: Eukaryota; Metazoa; Chordata; Aves; Passeriformes; Paridae
Source: RefSeq, a predicted model, not a curated record
ACUACUGAUUGCAGAAUUCAUGAUGCAACCCUGUUGAGAAGAGAGUACUGAGAGCCAAACGUGUGGAAAGUGGCAGUUCUACCCUUAAAACUGGAUCUAUCUCCCAAACAUGAAGAUACCCAAGAUAAUCUAUAUCAACCUAAAUGUUCCUGAUGAAUGAAGGACCCCUUUUUGUUGCCAAAGGAAGGGUUAGAGAAAAUAAUGGAACAGCAGCCACCACAGCUUGCCUGGCCUUUGGAAGUUGCUUCAACAACUGAGUGGAUAGAACAAAACUACAGAAGACUCCAUCCUGCUAAGAGUGGUGGUGAAAAUAUAUCUUUGACACCUCUUCCUG